AGCUUUUAUUUUAUAAGUGCAACACUGUUAAAAGUAAAAUUGACUUCUGUCUCGUGCGCACUUUAUUAAUCGAGGAUUUUACAAAGAAACAGGAACCACUGGUGCUGGAAGACUGUCUAGUUUUAAACAUAAACAAGACUGCAAUUCUUCAGUGGAUGGUAAAAAAUUUUCAAGUAACAGGUUGUGAAAACUCAGACAAAGCUGAACUUUUGCUCAAGAUACUUGUUGCUAACAAUUACGCCGAGCCUUGCCAACUAGAAACCGGAUCACCAGCAAGCAAAAUAAUUUACUCUUUCCAGUUGCAAACUUUGCCCGACCAUAAAAAUUCAAAAGAGCGCAAGGGUUGUGCCAAAAGCUACAAGAAUAAUACCACGAAUAAUUUUUUUUUCUCUUUAAAAAUGAAGGAAAAAAAAGGGUCAAGCAAAGCUUCCUGUCUUGGUCUAUUCAGUGAAGCUAAGAGUUCUAACUUAGAUACAUGUAAAGAAGAACAAGACAACAAUUAUUAUAAGAUCCAAAAUCAUGAACAAGAGGUAGUCCACGCCGAUGAUUAUGACGGUAACAGUAUCGACAAUAAUAUUAAUACCCCUUUCCAAAGCAUAGAAAACGGAACCAUAAAAAAAAUUAAAAAAAAGAGUUCAAGUGAAACUUGUAAAAAAAACUAUUUUCGUAUGUCUUUACAUUUUUUCCCACUCCGUCGAUCUUUUGGGCGACAAAAAUCUUCUGAAUCGAAAGAAAAUUAUCCAAUUUUUUUAAAAGAGGGAAUAAAUAAAUACGAAAAAGUUAAAAUUAAUAAAAAAUCACUAAGUGACCGAACGAGAAAAAAAGAAUCCGUCCGUUUACAUGUAAUCUUUAACGAAGAACAUUAUGUUCAGCAUUUUCCGUUGCAAGCGAGAAUACAGGACAUUACGAACUUUUGCAUAAGUAACUACGAAAUCAAAGAAGCACCAAAAAACGGAAUGAAUUCGGAGGAUUACAACUAUGUGGCCCACGUAGACGGAAGACCACUACCAGCAGAUGGCUAUAUACGUCAUGCAUUAAAAAAAGAUGA
Molecule: long non-coding RNA, 1048 nt
Organism: Zophobas morio
Lineage: Eukaryota; Metazoa; Arthropoda; Insecta; Coleoptera; Tenebrionidae
Exons: 3
Source: RefSeq, a predicted model, not a curated record